UGGGGAAUAUUGGGCAAUGGAGGCAACUCUGACCCAGCAACGCCGCGUGAAGGAUGAAGGUUUUCGGAUUGUAAACUUCUGUCGCAGGGGACGAAGAAUGACGGUACCCUGUAAGAAAGCCACGGCAAACUACGUGCCAGCAGCCGCGGUAAUACGUAGGUGGCAAGCGUUGUCCGGAAUGACUGGGUGUAAAGGGAGUGUAGGCGGCGAUUUAAGUUAUAUGUGAAAGCCCCGGGCUUAACUCGGGAACUGCAUAUAAGACUGGAUUGCUUUGAGUGCGGGAGAGGUAAGUGGAAUUCCUAGUGUAGCGGUGGAAUGCGUAGAUAUUAGGAGGAACACCAGUGGCGAAGGCGACUUACUGGACCGUAACUGACGCUGAGACUCGAAAGCGUGGGGAUCAAACA
This 404-nucleotide ribosomal RNA is filed under the name uncultured Eubacteriales bacterium. Its description in RNAcentral is "uncultured Clostridiales bacterium partial 16S ribosomal RNA". It matches the Rfam family "Bacterial small subunit ribosomal RNA", at positions 355 to 774 of the family's 1533-position model. The record is from RNAcentral. Lineage: Bacteria; Bacillati; Bacillota; Clostridia; Eubacteriales.